This 253-nucleotide ribosomal RNA is filed under the name uncultured bacterium. Its description in RNAcentral is "partial 16S ribosomal RNA". It matches the Rfam family "Bacterial small subunit ribosomal RNA", at positions 524 to 776 of the family's 1533-position model. The record is from RNAcentral.
GACGUAGGGUGCGAGCGCUGUCCGGAUUUAUUGGGCGUAAAGAGCUCGUAGGCGGCUCGUCGCGUCAGCUGUGAAAACCCGCAGCUUAACUGUGGGCUUGCAGCUGAUACGGGCGGGCUAGAGUUCGGUAGGGGAGACUGGAAUUCCUGGUGUAGCGGUGAAAUGCGCAGAUAUCAGGAGGAACACCGGUGGCGAAGGCGGGUCUCUGGGCCGAUACUGACGCUGAGGAGCGAAAGCGUGGGGAGCGAACAGG